RNAcentral lists this ribosomal RNA (492 nucleotides) under uncultured bacterium. Its description in RNAcentral is "partial 16S ribosomal RNA". It matches the Rfam family "Bacterial small subunit ribosomal RNA", at positions 29 to 507 of the family's 1533-position model. The record is from RNAcentral.
AGCGAACGCUGGCGGUAGGCCUAACACAUGCAAGUCGAACGGCAGCACAGUAAUUGCUUGCUCUUACGGGUGUCGAGUGUCGGACGGGUGAUGAAUACUUCGGAAUCUACUUUUUCGUUUGGGAUAACGUAGGGUAACUUACGCUAAUACCGCAUACGACCUACUUGUGAAAGCAGGCGAUCUUCUGACCUUGUGCGAUUGAAUGUGCCGCUGUCGGAUUAGCUAGUUGGCGGGGUAAAGGCCCACCAAGGCGACGAUCGGUAGCUGGUCUGAGGGCAUGAACAGCCACCUUGUAACUGAGAAACGGCAGAGACACCUAGGGGAGGACGCAGUGGGGAAUAUUGGACGAGGGGGGAAAGCGUGAUCCAGCCAAACCGCGGAAAGGAAGAAGGACUUAGGGUUGUAAAGCCAUUUUGUUGGGAAAGAAAAGCAGCAGUUUAACACCCCGCUGUUAUGACGGUACCCAAAGAAUAAGCACCGGCUAACUUCGUG